UUGACNUCAAAUCGGUGAGACUACCGCUGAACUUNAGCAUAUCAUAAGCGGAGAAAAAACU
This 61-nucleotide ribosomal RNA is filed under the name uncultured Lactarius. RNAcentral's name for it is "partial 28S ribosomal RNA". The record is from RNAcentral. Lineage: Eukaryota; Fungi; Basidiomycota; Agaricomycetes; Russulales; Russulaceae.